This 253-nucleotide ribosomal RNA is filed under the name uncultured bacterium. Its description in RNAcentral is "partial 16S ribosomal RNA". It matches the Rfam family "Bacterial small subunit ribosomal RNA", at positions 524 to 776 of the family's 1533-position model. The record is from RNAcentral.
UACGUAGGGGUCGAGCGUUGUCCGGAGUUACUGGGCGUAAAGCGUGCGCAGGCGGCUCAUCGCGCUCGGCGUGAAAGCCCCCGGCUCAACCGGGGAGGGUCGUCGAGGACGGAUGGGCUUGAGGGUAUCAGGGGUUGGUGGAAUUCCCGGUGUAGUGGUGAAAUGCGUAGAUAUCGGGAGGAACACCAGUGGCGAAGGCGACUUCCUGGCCUGUUCUUGACGCUGAGGCGCGAAAGCUAGGGGAGCAAACGGG